AUGGGUAUUUCCCGCAAGGGACCUCCUGCACAGGUGCUGCAUGGCUGUCGUCAGCUCGUGUCGUGAGAUGGUUGGGUUAAGUCCCGCAACGAGCGCAACCUCGCCUUUAGUUGCCAGCACGUUUGGGUGGGCACUCUAGAGGAACUGCCGGUGACAAGCCGGAGGAAGGUGGGGAUGACGUCAAGUCCUCAUGGCCCUUAUGUCCUGGGCUACACACGUGCUACAAUGGCGGUGACAGUGGGAAGCUAGAUGGUGACAUCGUGCCGAUCUCUAAAAGCCGUCUCAGUUCGGAUUGUACUCUGCAACUCGAGUGCAUGAAGGUGGAAUCGCUAGUAAUCGCGGAUCAGCAUGCCGCGGUGAAUACGUUCCCGGGCCUUGUACACACCGCCCGUCACACCAUGGGAGUUGGUUUGACCCGAAGCCGGUGAGCGAACCGCAAGGACGCAGCCGACCACGGUCGGGUCAGCGACUGGGGUGAAGUCGUAACAAGGUAGGCGUAGUGCU
RNAcentral lists this ribosomal RNA (504 nucleotides) under uncultured bacterium. Its description in RNAcentral is "bacterial SSU rRNA". It matches the Rfam family "Bacterial small subunit ribosomal RNA", at positions 1006 to 1509 of the family's 1533-position model. The record is from RNAcentral.